GAUGAACGCUGGCGGCGUGCCUAAUACAUGCCAGUCGAGCGAACAGACGAGGAGCUUGCUCCUCUGACGUUAGCGGCGGACGGGUGAGUAACACGUGGAUAACCUACCUAUCAGACUGGGAUAACUUCGGGAAACCGGAGCUAAUACCGGAUAAUAUAUUGACCCGCAUGGUUCGAUAGUGAAAGACGGUUUUGCUGUCACUUAUAGAUGGAUCCGCGCCGCAUUAGCUAGUUGGUAAGGUAACGGCUUACCAAGGCAACGAUGCGUAGCCGACCUGAGAGGGGGAUCGGCCACACUGGAACUGAGACACGGUCCAGACGCCUACGGGAGGCAGCAGUAGGGAAUCGUCCGCAAUGGGCGAAAGCCUUACGGAGCAACGCCGCGUGAGUGAUGAAGGUCUUCGGAUCGUAAUACUCUGUUAUUAGGGAAGAACAAAUGUGUAAGUAACUAUGCACGUCUUGACGGUACCUAAUCAGAAAGCCACGGCUAACUACGUG
This 497-nucleotide ribosomal RNA is filed under the name uncultured bacterium. RNAcentral's name for it is "partial 16S ribosomal RNA". It matches the Rfam family "Bacterial small subunit ribosomal RNA", at positions 28 to 507 of the family's 1533-position model. The record is from RNAcentral.